CCUACGGGAGGCAGCAGUGGGGGAUAUUGCACAAUGGGGGAAACCCUGAUGCAGCGAUGCCGCGUGAAUGAAGACGGCCCUCGGGUUGUAAAGUUCUGUCGCAGGGGACGAAAAUGACGGUACCCGGCAAGAAAGCUCCGGCUAACUAGGUGCCAGCAGCCGCGGUAAUACGUAGGGAGCAAGUGUUGUCCGGAAUUACUGGGUGUAAGGGGAGCGUAGGCGGGAGGAUAAGUUGAAUGUGAAAUCCAUGGGCCCAACCCAUAGCUGCGUCCAGAACUGUUCUUCUUGAGUGAAGUAGAGGCAGGCGGAAUUCCUAGUGUAGCGGUGAAAUGCGUAGAUAUUAGGAGGAACACCAGUGGCGAAGGCGGCCUGCUGGGCUUUUACUGACGCUGAGGCUCGAAAGCGUGGGUAGCGAACAGGAUUAGAUACCCUUGUAGUC
This 439-nucleotide ribosomal RNA is filed under the name uncultured bacterium. Its description in RNAcentral is "partial 16S ribosomal RNA". It matches the Rfam family "Bacterial small subunit ribosomal RNA", at positions 338 to 795 of the family's 1533-position model. The record is from RNAcentral.